AAUUUCGUUUUUGUUCUCUUUUUAAUGAUAACUCAGUGACAUCUCUCUCUCUUUUCUAUUUCGAUUUUGCUUGCGGUGAACAACAAUAACAACAUAGAGAAUCUCUUCCUUGCCGUGGACAACAAUCGGUUUCUAUUUUGCUCAAUCUCUCACCGGUUUCUUUCUCUGAACUCUCGGCCUCUCUCAAUCCGAAUAACACAGCAGCGACUUUCGAAGUCCUCCGGCGGCCAUGAAAACUCAUAUUGACGAGAACAGCUUAAGCUAUACACCGAUUUCUUUCACAAACAGAGCUGCAACAAACUAUAAUAUUUAGAGAAAGUGUGAAGACUUACCUACGGCGAGGAGAUUUUCACCGGAUUUUAUGUUGAGCGUCGGUGUUUUGAAUCAUAGGAUAUUGACGAUUCAUCUAUGGAGGCUCGAAGAUUGUUGAAUUUUUGAGAGUUUGUUGUGAUGAG
Long non-coding RNA from Vicia villosa (hairy vetch), 455 nucleotides. RefSeq lists it as uncharacterized. The transcript has 3 exons. NCBI's taxonomy places the organism in Eukaryota, Viridiplantae, Streptophyta, Magnoliopsida, Fabales, Fabaceae. The record is from RefSeq and is a predicted model, not a curated record.